CACACUAUCAUUAACUGAAUCCAUAGGUUAAUGAGGCGAACCGGGGGAACUGAAACAUCUAAGUACCCCGAGGAAAAGAAAUCAACCGAGAUUCCCCCAGUAGCGGCGAGCGAACGGGGAGCAGCCCAGAGCCUGAAUCAGUGUGUGUGUUAGUGGAAGCGUCUGGAAAGGCGCGCGAUACAGGGUGACAGCCCCGUACACAAAAAUGCACAUGCUGUGAGCUCGAUGAGUAGGGCGGGACACGUGGUAUCCUGUCUGAAUAUGGGGGGACCAUCCUCCAAGGCUAAAUACUCCUGACUGACCGAUAGUGAACCAGUACCGUGAGGGAAAGGCGAAAAGAACCCCGGCGAGGGGAGUGAAAAAGAACCUGAAACCGUGUACGUACAAGCAGUGGGAGCACGCUUAGGCGUGUGACUGCGUACCUUUUGUAUAAUGGGUCAGCGACUUAUAUUCUGUAGCAAGGUUAACCGAAUAGGGGAGCCGAAGGGAAACCGAGUCUUAACUGGGCGUUAAGUUGCAGGGUAUAGACCCGAAACCCGGUGAUCUAGCCAUGGGCAGGUUGAAGGUUGGGUAACACUAACUGGAGGACCGAACCGACUAAUGUUGAAAAAUUAGCGGAUGACUUGUGGCUGGGGGUGAAAGGCCAAUCAAACCGGGAGAUAGCUGGUUCUCCCCGAAAGCUAUUUAGGUAGCGCCUCGUGAAUUCAUCUCCGGGGGUAGAGCACUGUUUCGGCAAGGGGGUCAUCCCGACUUACCAACCCGAUGCAAACUGCGAAUACCGGAGAAUGUUAUCACGGGAGACACACGGCGGGUGCUAACGUCCGUCGUGAAGAGGGAAACAACCCAGACCGCCAGCUAAGGUCCCAAAGUCAUGGUUAAGUGGGAAACGAUGUGGGAAGGCCCAGACAGCCAGGAUGUUGGCUUAGAAGCAGCCAUCAUUUAAAGAAAGCGUAAUAGCUCACUGGUCGAGUCGGCCUGCGCGGAAGAUGUAACGGGGCUAAACCAUGCACCGAAGCUGCGGCAGCGACGCUGAUGCGUUGUUGGGUAGGGGAGCGUUCUGUAAGCCUGCGAAGGUGUGCUGUGAGGCAUGCUGGAGGUAUCAGAAGUGCGAAUGCUGACAUAAGUAACGAUAAAGCGGGUGAAAAGCCCGCUCGCCGGAAGACCAAGGGUUCCUGUCCAACGUUAAUCGGGGCAGGGUGAGUCGACCCCUAAGGCGAGGCCGAAAGGCGUAGUCGAUGGGAAACAGGUUAAUAUUCCUGUACUUGGUGUUACUGCGAAGGGGGGACGGAGAAGGCUAUGUUGGCCGGGCGACGGUUGUCCCGGUUUAAGCGUGUAGGCUGGUUUUCCAGGCAAAUCCGGAAAAUCAAGGCUGAGGCGUGAUGACGAGGCACUACGGUGCUGAAGCAACAAAUGCCCUGCUUCCAGGAAAAGCCUCUAAGCAUCAGGUAACAUCAAAUCGUACCCCAAACCGACACAGGUGGUCAGGUAGAGAAUACCAAGGCGCUUGAGAGAACUCGGGUGAAGGAACUAGGCAAAAUGGUGCCGUAACUUCGGGAGAAGGCACGCUGAUAUGUAGGUGAAGCGACUUGCUCGUGGAGCUGAAAUCAGUCGAAGAUACCAGCUGGCUGCAACUGUUUAUUAAAAACACAGCACUGUGCAAACACGAAAGUGGACGUAUACGGUGUGACGCCUGCCCGGUGCCGGAAGGUUAAUUGAUGGGGUCAGCGCAAGCGAAGCUCUUGAUCGAAGCCCCGGUAAACGGCGGCCGUAACUAUAACGGUCCUAAGGUAGCGAAAUUCCUUGUCGGGUAAGUUCCGACCUGCACGAAUGGCGUAAUGAUGGCCAGGCUGUCUCCACCCGAGACUCAGUGAAAUUGAACUCGCUGUGAAGAUGCAGUGUACCCGCGGCAAGACGGAAAGACCCCGUGAACCUUUACUAUAGCUUGACACUGAACAUUGAGCCUUGAUGUGUAGGAUAGGUGGGAGGCUUUGAAGUGUGGACGCCAGUCUGCAUGGAGCCGACCUUGAAAUACCACCCUUUAAUGUUUGAUGUUCUAACGUGGACCCGUAAUCCGGGUUGCGGACAGUGUCUGGUGGGUAGUUUGACUGGGGCGGUCUCCUCCUAAAGAGUAACGGAGGAGCACGAAGGUUGGCUAAUCCUGGUCGGACAUCAGGAGGUUAGUGCAAUGGCAUAAGCCAGCUUGACUGCGAGCGUGACGGCGCGAGCAGGUGCGAAAGCAGGUCAUAGUGAUCCGGUGGUUCUGAAUGGAAGGGCCAUCGCUCAACGGAUAAAAGGUACUCCGGGGAUAACAGGCUGAUACCGCCCAAGAGUUCAUAUCGACGGCGGUGUUUGGCACCUCGAUGUCGGCUCAUCACAUCCUGGGGCUGAAGUAGGUCCCAAGGGUAUGGCUGUUCGCCAUUUAAAGUGGUACGCGAGCUGGGUUUAGAACGUCGUGAGACAGUUCGGUCCCUAUCUGCCGUGGGCGCUGGAGAACUGAGGGGGGCUGCUCCUAGUACGAGAGGACCGGAGUGGACGCAUCACUGGUGUUCGGGUUGUCAUGCCAAUGGCACUGCCCGGUAGCUAAAUGCGGAAGAGAUAAGUGCUGAAAGCAUCUAAGCACGAAACUUGCCCCGAGAUGAGUUCUCCCUGACUCCUUGAGAGUCCUGAAGGAACGUUGAAGACGACGACGUUGAUAGGCCGGGUGUGUAAGCGCAGCGAUGCGUUGAGCUAACCGGUACUAAUGAACCGUGAGGCUUAACCUUACAACGCCGAAG
This 2774-nucleotide ribosomal RNA is filed under the name Escherichia coli. RNAcentral's name for it is "bacterial LSU rRNA". It matches the Rfam family "Bacterial large subunit ribosomal RNA". Lineage: Bacteria; Pseudomonadati; Pseudomonadota; Gammaproteobacteria; Enterobacterales; Enterobacteriaceae. The record is from RNAcentral.